Molecule: transfer RNA, 90 nt
Filed under: Neokomagataea tanensis
Lineage: Bacteria; Pseudomonadati; Pseudomonadota; Alphaproteobacteria; Acetobacterales; Acetobacteraceae
Also listed under: 1 other name
Description: tRNA-Ser
Rfam family: tRNA
About the family: Transfer RNA (tRNA) molecules are approximately 80 nucleotides in length. Their secondary structure includes four short double-helical elements and three loops (D, anti-codon, and T loops).
Source: RNAcentral
GGAGAGGUGGCCGAGUGGUUUAAGGCAGCGGUCUUGAAAACCGCCGUACGUGAGAGCGUACCGUGGGUUCGAAUCCCACCCUCUCCGCCA